UAACAACUAUAGAUCACCGUACGGCCUUCAACAAUGAGCAAAGCCCAUACCGCAUAGUCAGCUAUAAAAGGCCUCGAUAAGACAAUGUAAAACAAUUCAAACGAGAAAACUAACAGCCUUAUUUAUAUAAAAAAAAUGAACGAAAAAAAAAUAUGAAAUACAUAAACAAACGACAACCACUGAAUUACAGGCUCCUAACUUGGGACAGGCACAUACAUAAACAAGAAGUAAUUGUAACAGGAUGCUGUUACGAAGUCUCCCAAACAAAGCACCGAUAACUCCCCAUUCAUAUGGUCCCAUGUUCAUUUGAUUUGAUUUUUUGUCCCAUACAAGAAUAUAUAUGGCUUACGAGUAGGGAUCUCCACCAUUUACAAGUUUUCAAACAGGAGGGGGUGGUGGUGACCCCAGGGACUUUACCUACAUUUCAUUUGAUUUGUUUUAUUGUCCCCUACAAGAAAAUAUAUGGUUUAGGGGUGGGGAUCUGGACUGUUUACAAGAUAAUAGAACAUUCUCAAAUUGAACGGGGUGGGGGUGACCCCCAGGAACUUCCAUCUAAUUACAUGUGAUUUGUUUCAUUGUCCCAUACAAGAAUAUAUAUGGUUUAGGGGUGGGGAUCUGGACCGUUUACAAGUUUUCAAACAAGAGGGGUUGGGGUGACCCCCUAGGGACUUCCCUUUUAUUUCAUUUGAUUUGUUUUAUUGUCCCAUACAAGAAUAUAUAUGGUUUAGGGGUGGGAUCUGGACCGUUUACAAGUUUUCAAACAAGAGGGGGUGGGUGACCCCUAGGGACUUCCCAUUUAUUUCAUUUGAUUUGUUUUAUUGUCCCCUACAAGAAUAUAUAUGGUUUAGGGGUGGGGAUCUGGACUGUUAACAAGAUAAUAGAACAUUCUCAAAUUGAACGGGGU
This 904-nucleotide long non-coding RNA is filed under the name Mytilus galloprovincialis (Mediterranean mussel). Lineage: Eukaryota; Metazoa; Mollusca; Bivalvia; Mytilida; Mytilidae. The record is from RNAcentral.